GAGUAAGUAAAUAAGGGCGUACGGGGGAUGCCUAGGCUCUCAGAGGCGAAGAAGGACGUGACAAGCUGCGAAAAGCUGCGGGGAUCCGCAAGAGGAAUUGAUCCGCAGAUAUCCGAAUGGGGCAACCCAUCCCGCGUUAGCGGGAUAUUCCGCAAGGAAGGCAAACCCGGGAAACUGAAACAUCUAAGUACCCGGAGGAAGAGAAAACAACAGUGAUUCCGUGAGUAGUGGCGAGCGAAAGCGGAGCAGCCCAAACCGGAUCUGUUACGGCAGGUUCGGGGUUAUAGGACCGAUAAAAAGAGAACAUACCUGACUUGAGUUGUCUGGGAAGGCAAACCAAAGCGGGUGAUAGUCCCAUAGGGGAAGGGUAUGUGAUUGGAUUGGUAUCCUGAGUAGGUCGGGACAGGAG
This 409-nucleotide ribosomal RNA is filed under the name Belliella alkalica. RNAcentral describes it as "partial 23S ribosomal RNA". It matches the Rfam family "Bacterial large subunit ribosomal RNA", at positions 1 to 428 of the family's 2925-position model. Lineage: Bacteria; Pseudomonadati; Bacteroidota; Cytophagia; Cytophagales; Cyclobacteriaceae. The record is from RNAcentral.